This 928-nucleotide small RNA is filed under the name uncultured Mycobacterium sp. RNAcentral's name for it is "bacterial SSU rRNA". The stretch from base 1 to 473 matches the Rfam family "Bacterial small subunit ribosomal RNA", at positions 1064 to 1533 of the family's 1533-position model. The record is from RNAcentral. Lineage: Bacteria; Bacillati; Actinomycetota; Actinomycetes; Mycobacteriales; Mycobacteriaceae.
GUCGUGAGAUGUUGGGUUAAGUCCCGCAACGAGCGCAACCCUCGUUCCAUGUUGCCAGCGGGUUAUGCCGGGGACUCAUAGGAGACUGCCGGGGUCAACUCGGAGGAAGGUGGGGACGACGUCAAGUCAUCAUGGCCCUUAUGUCCUGGGCUGCAAACAUGCUACAAUGGCCGGUACAGAGGGCUGCAAACCCGCGAGGGGGAGCCAAUCCCAAAAAGCCGGUCUCAGUUCGGAUCGGGGUCUGCAACUCGACCCCGUGAAGUCGGAGUCGCUAGUAAUCGCGAAUCAGCAACGUCGCGGUGAAUACGUUCCCGGGCCUUGUACACACCGCCCGUCACGUCACGAAAGUCGGUAACACCCGAAGCCAGUGGCCCAACCCUUUGGGGAGGGAGCUGUCGAAGGUGGGAUCGGCGAUUGGGACGAAGUCGUAACAAGGUAGCCGUACCGGAAGGUGCGGCUGGAUCACCUCCUUUCUAAGGAGCUUUCCCCGCGGCCCUCGCAAGAGGGUCGCCAGGAGCCAGGACCCACUCACGGGCCUGGUCGCUCCAGGAUCUCGAUCACUGGCUAUUCGGUCGGGCCGCUCGCCGGCUCGCCUAGUACCGCCCCCGCAAGGGGGUGUGGAACGGCGGAAGGGGACGGUCUCGGCCGCGCACACUGUUGAGCUUUGAGGGAGCGUCUCCCUUCGGGGGCGCGAGCACCUCGCCACGAGGCUCUGCCUGAACCCCGAACCGGCCGGCACAUCCGGCCAGGCGGGUGACAGGAGUCGGGCCGGGAACCUUGAGAACUACAUAGCGAGCGCGAGCAUCUUUGAAGUUGCCAAGUUACAAAGGGCACAUGGUGGAUGCCUAGGCGCCAGAAGCCGAUGAAGGACGUAGGAGGCUGCGAUAAGCCUCGGGGAGCUGCCAACCUAGCUUUGAUCCGGGGAUGU